GUCUCGGGUUCACUCAGAGAGGACAGCCAUGCCCAACUUAUUCUAAAGCCUUGAUGAUGGUCAUAUUUUCAUUCAUCCAUAAUGCAGCCUUUGCGCAAGUUGAAAGACCGUUGAGAACAGGAAUGUUAUCUCACCCUUCACAGCCCAAACAAAGCCUAGCACUGGAUCUUGCCAGAGGUGGUGAGUAGUGGAUUUCAUGAAUAAAUCAUGAACUGUUUUCAGUUCACGAUUUUGUAUUGCAUAUACUGUGCUAAGUUCUGGUGAUAUAAGAUGGCUAGAAAGCAAUUGUAGAUCUUGAGGUGCUUACUGAUUUCAUCUAAGAAUAACCUUUAACAGAUUCCACAAUUUUACUUUGACAUUCCCACUAAUGGCUUUAUAUUCUCGAGAAACUCUUUUUAUAGGGGUCGUGGUUUCCUCGAGAGUGAGGUGUAGAUGAUAAUACCCAUAGCAGAGUGAAGCUCUUUACAUUUAGCAAUAAAUCAUAUGAAAAUCCUUCAAACAAGGAAGAAAUGAAUAUAUUUCAAAGUUAUUGGAUAAUUUCUCUCUAGUACCUUGAAGUGCAAGUCUAACUUUUAAGUAGACAAUAUAAUGAGUCCAUUACUGUGGUUGCCUUUUAAUUAUAUUAGUGAUGUAGUCCAGAUUGAAUUCUGGGAGAUGUACAAAUAAAUACAAUAGACCUUGAUGCUUAUUCAUUCCCAACUAAGCUCUGCAUUCUAAAGGCUGCUGAAGCAGCAGAUCCCGUAUAUUUUGCAUUAUCAUGCCAUAUAUUGAAAAAAAUAUGUUUGAGACUGUAUUUUAGUCUAGAAAAUUUCUAGGAUAAUUGCAUUAGUUGUUCUAAUUAUGCAAUUAGAAUAAUUUACAAUUGUAGCAGGUUCUUUUUUAUAACUUUUCAAAGUAUACUCAUAUCCACUAUUUAAUGGUAUUAAUAAAGAUAUUUAUACAUAGUUAAAAUGCUAUUUUAUAAGUAGCAUAAGGAUUGUUUUGACUGACUGAUGCUGAUAUUAAAAAAUAAGGAUAUGGAGUAGUUGAGAACCAGAAUAAUAUGCAGUGGAAUCACCAGCAUAUGAGCAGAGGAAAUGGAUCUGUAUGUCUUGGAAAUCCACAUGCAGAGAACAGUAGACAUAUCCAGCAUCACUAUCUACAACUCUGCUGAAUCUGAACUGGACCAUGUGGCCCUACUCUCUGCACAUCUUCAGCCAAUUUGACCCAACCAAGGCAUUCACUUAUCACCUAGCUUGAAUAGCUAAAUUGGGUUGUUAAGUUUCUUCUAUGAAGAGUUUCUGGAAAUUGAAAUUGGAGCACUGAGAGACAAAGGUUAAGUAAGUAUGAGUAAUUCCUGAAUAAUCCAGGGUGGGGACUAUUGGUUUGCAGCCCUUUGCACGGUAAGCACAACAAACUGAUCAAAAGUUCAUAGAAACAGAAAGAACUAUAGAUAACAUCAAGGUGGCCUCUGAGAAAAAGAGAAAAGCAAUGGAAGACUUUGCUAGUUGAUUUCUGAAGUACCUAUUUCCCUGUUAAUUUCCCAUUCUGGCAGAGCAGUUUCUUACUUUAUAGAUUGAUAAUGCCAGAUACUCACUUCCUCAGCCUCCCUUGUAGCUAGAGAGCAGGCACAUGGCCCAGUAAUGGUCAACAAACCCCAAGAGAAGAUAUGGGGAAUUUCUUGGAAAUAUUUCAUUCUGGUUAAAAGAGACACAAGAAAAGAAACUUCUCUUCUUGCUCUUGGGUGGUAUUAGGUAAGGAUAUCAUGUCUAGAACUAUAGGAACCAUUUUGCAACCAUGAGGUGACAAACCAAAGACCACGGUCUAUGUACUGAAGAUAGUAAAGAGGAAGCAAGAAAAGAGCUCUAGUCUAUGGUGAUUUUGUUAUGUUUUGAAUUAAUCUAUGUACAACUGAUGUAUCUUUAGAUUUAUUGAUAUGUGUGAUAAAAGACAUCCUUAUUUUUCUAGCCAUAGUACUUGAGCAUACAAUAUCUUAACAGCCAUAAGCAUCUUAAUUCAUCAGUAGUCUUAUGUUCUGAUCUUUCAGUCUCAAGUGAAUCAAUCUCUGUGCAGCCUAGCUGAAACUCACCUAAGUCUUCCAUGAUUUUCUCUUGUAUUCUCACAAAACAAGCCCCUCCUCUCCCUUUUUUUAACUUCUUCACAUGUGUUUCUACUCCUUGCAAAUACAUUGGCCUUGACACAGGCUUUCAGUGAUGUAUUUUGGAAGUUAAGAGCUUUGACCAAAACCACAGCAGACUUCAGCGGUGAUGAAACUGUAACCAGAAUACAGGUUAGCCAUGUGGGCCUCUCUGCUUAUGUACCACAUGCUAUUUCAGAGAUUGUUGGAAAAUAGAGAUGUCAUUCAUUGACGAACUAUUCAAGGCUGUAUAAGAAAUGCUACACUAACCAAUGUAAGAAUAACUUCAAUGCACGUGGUGGCAUCAUUUAACCCACCAUAAAAUUGCAGCAUAAUACCCACUGAAAAAGGGUUCAAGUGUUCAAAGAAGGAGAUCAGAAUGGAACCUGAAUAUAUUCAAUAACUAUUUGAACUUUUUUGUGGCGAAGUCAUUUAAUACUUAUCCAUUUAGAUCCCUUUAAAAGGCAGCUUCUCCCCCCGAAGCCUCUCUAUUAUGAAGCUACAGUCUCCAGAUUGCCAACUCCAUUGUGCAUAGAGCAGAGCAUGCUUGGAAAAACCUGCCAGAUAAGCAGGUUCUCACAAGCCUGGGGAGAGAUUAAGUAUUGCUGUGUGUAGUUACUUCCAGAGAUGCCUUUGCCUCUCCCGCUUCACUGCUGCUGUGAAGUCGACAAUCCUGGAAAUGCAUUUUGAGACAGGGAGUUUCCAAAGUGACAGGCUUAAAAAAUACAAUUCACCUUUUGCCCUUCCCCUCCCAGCUGCAGGAUACCAGGCCUCCUUAGAACUCAGUUUUGUAACUCUGAAUACGCACCAAUAUCUUAAAUAAAUAGGCUAAGCUCUCCUGGGCCAUAGAUUUCCAGUUGUAGUUUCUAGUCUAAAUUCCCUCUGUUAAAUGCAGAUGAUUAAAUGAGAGUGUUUAUGAUUUAAACAACAAGAAAAACCAUCUUUCGUAUCUCCUAGCUAUAUACUCUAAUCUCAAUUUUCUUAUAAAUUCAGAGAAGUAAUUAAUAGCAGACUUGAAUUGGCUCCAGAAUUUCAUGUUUCCUAAACUGUUGCUAACUCAGAGAGGAAAUCAAGUGGAAUCAAAUGCAUGGGAAGAGAAAUCUGUCUUGAUUGUUUCUCAAUUUCGUGGCCAGAAAGGCCUGAGCGGCUCGGUAUAAUGCAAAAGACAGG
This is a long non-coding RNA of Equus caballus (horse), 3286 nucleotides long. The record is from Ensembl. Lineage: Eukaryota; Metazoa; Chordata; Mammalia; Perissodactyla; Equidae.